Molecule: ribosomal RNA, 207 nt
Filed under: uncultured bacterium
Lineage: Bacteria
Description: partial 16S ribosomal RNA
Rfam family: Bacterial small subunit ribosomal RNA
Source: RNAcentral
UGCGUAGGUGGUUGGUUAAGUUUGAGGUGAAAGCUCCGAGCUCAACUCGGAAAAUGCCUUGAAGACUAUCUGACUAGAGGAUUGGAGGGGAGAUUGGAAUUCUCGGUGUAGCAGUGAAAUGCGUAGAUAUCGAGAGGAGCACCAGUGGCGAAGGCGAAUCUCUGGACAAUUCCUGACACUGAGGCACGAAAGCCAAGGGAGCAAACG